GCUCCGGUAGUAUAGCCCGGCCAAGUAUUCCGGCCUUUCGAGCCGGAGACCCGGGUUCAAAUCCCGGCCGGAGCACCA
This 78-nucleotide transfer RNA is filed under the name Candidatus Bathyarchaeota archaeon ex4484_231. Its description in RNAcentral is "tRNA-Glu". It matches the Rfam family "tRNA". Rfam says of the family: Transfer RNA (tRNA) molecules are approximately 80 nucleotides in length. Their secondary structure includes four short double-helical elements and three loops (D, anti-codon, and T loops). Lineage: Archaea; Thermoproteati; Candidatus Bathyarchaeota. RNAcentral also lists the same sequence under 4 other names. The record is from RNAcentral.